UUUGUUUAUAGACGUGUGGACGGCUGGGUCACGGCAGCGGGUGCUUGCAGGAAGAGCCCUUUUAUGAAUCCAUCUUCUAUAACGUCAGGGUAAUGGGGGUCCAGAGCCAAUGGACACAAGGCACAAGGCACAAGACCCAAGGAAAACCUGAGUAGCCAGAGGAAACAGGCGAACUCCAAAAAAUGGAGCCAUCAGC
Molecule: long non-coding RNA, 196 nt
Organism: Brienomyrus brachyistius
Lineage: Eukaryota; Metazoa; Chordata; Actinopteri; Osteoglossiformes; Mormyridae
Exons: 3
Source: RefSeq, a predicted model, not a curated record